AACAAAAACCAGUGUCGUUUGUAUGCCAUAAAAAUCUUAAGAACUACAGACCUAACUUCCUGUAAAAUAUCAGAGUCAAAAUUAACAGGAAAUCAGAGAGGUAGUGUCGGCCUCAAGUUCGGUAGUGCUGGGUCCAGAAGUGCCGAGCACACGGGCGGCAGUGCCGGGCACCGAAAAAUGCCCAGAAUGAUCUCAAACUUCACAUAUAGUUUGCGCGGGGUAGAAGACGGUUACUAGUGAACAAACCAAAAAUCAAAGCUUAGAUCAGAAAAUCCGAGAGAGAUGGGGUUUUCUCAAAACGAGCCUAAAUGAGAAUCAACUCGGGUCAUGACCAAGAACUGCACUGUGAGGGUGUACGCAGUAAUCCAAAGAGUCUAUAUCCACCCAAAUCAAUCCCCAACAAUACUCAUGUCGCAAAAACUCGAAGGUUCUCCACAAAUCCACAAGAGAAGAGGAAAGGAUAAAACAAAACUUCAGAAUUUAGCAAUUAUCAAAAAUUGAGAUUGAGAAGUGAACAAAACAUGUGGGUCGUACCGGCGACCCUUCCUCGAAUUAUACAUGAAGAACAAAAACCAAGUCGACGGUUACAAAAUUGACGCGGAUCCCUUGGUUAAACUGGUGACUACCGAGACAGAAAACUAGGAGUACUAAAAUAAGAAGCCUAAAGAAAUGGCAGCCAUAAGAUGCUUGACUAACAAGCCUGUCCCUCUAUUUAUAGAGGGUUAUUUGUAUUUUGUAAACUACCCCUAUUUAUAUGGAGUCUAUUGACUCCGCUAGGGGAGAAAUAGACCAACUCAUAGGUUUUCGAUUUGAUGGCCACAUGCUCCACACGAACUUGCUUCGCCUUGACAAACCCUUAGCUGUGAUGCCACGUGCCGCCACCGGAUCCCUCCAGAACCGCCGCCAUCGAGUUUUGAGGCCCAAACUUAGCAAAACCCAACAUCCGUAACGCAGGAUGGUGUUGAGGCUCAACCACCAAACCGUCAUGAGUAUCACAGCACCACAUGUGCGUCCUCCAUGACCAGACAUGUGUCCUGCCAGUCCUCGAUCGCGCCAACAGGAUGGUCCACUCCACCAUAUCCUUACGCGAGUGCAUGUCCCAGGUGUCAACCACCAUGGAUGGUCACCCAUCUACUCCAAUUCGUCAGCCAAGAUCCAACACUCGUCCUUCAUCGCUCCCGGUCCAUCAGCACGAGACCGCAUGACCUUCACCUCAGCCGUCGAUUACUGUCCCUGUUCUCCACACCUAGACAGCACAAGCCGACCGACAUGGUUGCACAUACAUAAUCUCACACUCGGGUCAGUCCACUGAGUACCCAAGAGUGCUACCCGUUAAGACAAUCACUCAUUAUCAACCCAAACCACAAGGGACAACUCAAUCUUGUGUUCGCAAUCUCCCAUUUGAUGAGUGCAAUGUCAACACCACCACAUGAACAUAUAUAAGCAGAAAGAGGAAGAAGAAGAAGAAGAGAAACUCACUCAAAUGACCAAAAGCCAGAAAAUGGCCAAACAAGUCAUCCAAAGUAAGCAAAACUUGGUCUCCAAAGAAAUGGGCAACGACUCAACACGACCAAGUAUAAAACGGUUUGUCCUCACAAAGAGGAAAAAGUAGGGCUCAACACCACUAGCCAGCCAACAAAACAAAAUCAGCACAAAAGCUGAAAUCAAAGCUAGUUCCUCCAGAAAGAGGCAAGUGGCUCAACACAUCUAGCAAAAGCUCCAAAAUCCAAUGUCUCUCCCCCUGAGAAUCUCUCCCCUUGCGAAAGUAGUCUCCCAAAGCAAAAAUCUCUCCCCUUUGUUAGGAGGCAAAAAAUCUCAAAGUCUCUCCCCCAUAUUGACAAGUGAACUCAUCAAGCACAAACAAGGGUAAAACAGAAACUCCCCGUGAGAAAAUGCAGAAAUGCAAAAGAAAGGAGAAUAUGCACGAGCUUCAAAAGUAUACCAAUCAGUGUAAAAAUGCUCUAAGUGGUGUUGUGCUAUGUGUGCAGCAAUAAAUUCACAUGCCAUCAAAUGUUCAAACUGACUAUAUGCACAAGAUAUAUUAAGUGUAAGCAAUUUGAUUUAGUUUUAAACAGUUCAAAAGAGAAGUUCACUACUAAAGACAGCACUAGGCAUAUAGUAAGAAGGAAAUCAACUAAUUGCCAGUCAAGGUAAACCAGGUGAAGUACCCCCAAACAGUGGCCACUCAUCAUGUUAGAAACAUACCUGAAAAUGAUACUAGAUGAUAAUCUCAAUAUUUAUCGGAUUUUGCAGUGGAUUACAAGUUUUAAGGAAAGAAUGUGAGUACGAGAGGUUAUAAGCAUUGUCAUUGUCUAACUUUUCAAUCGGGUGUAGCGUAUGCAGAAAAGAAAUCAGAAGCUAAAGACACCGGUUUGAUCAUCCACUACCGUGCUCAAGUUCAUCUAAAGGUGCAAAUGGAAGCAGUUUCUAUAAAGAGAGGUGGAGACAAAUGCAAACCUAUCUCAAUCUUUCUGAAUUUUUCACUUAUUUUGAUUUUGAUUUUAAGAACAUAACUUAUGAUUCAAGACAAUGAAUGACUCAGAGCAUGAGACAUAGCCAUCUAGCAUACUAGUGGGAGCACAAAGGAUUUCAGACACAUCCUAUAUACUCUAGGUGCCAUUCUCAAAUGGUGAACAUGUUUUGGAUUCAGCAAGUAAUAGUCAAGUUCACAAUUAUGAAAAAACAAGCUUAUCAAAACCUCUUGAUCAGCCUUGCUCACGGUCAUGAGCGGCUCGAACCCUCACAUGAGUAACUUAUGGAAUUAAAUUUAAUUAGUUAUUUGCAUCACAUUGUGGUUUAUUUAUUAAUUAUGAUAUCUCAUUAUUUGGGUUGGUAUUUACUUAUACUUAGUAAUUGCUAAUAAAAUUUGACCAACUUAUUAAAAGCAAUGCUCAGCUUUAACCAUUAUUUAUUGAUCAGCCUUACACUGCACAUGAACUCCCACCUUUGGUGAGUUCAUGCACAUUAUUCCCCAUAACUUGUUGAGCUAUGAUCUUUUGUGAGCUCACUCUUGCGAUUAUAAACCGCUCCACAGGUGAAGAGCAAGUAGCCAGGAGGAGGACUACUACGUGGAGUACGAGGAAGUCUAGGUGGCGUCUCCCAGUCAACUUGAUGGCGCCAAUGAAUAAUUAUUAGUUUGCUUUAUUGUUAUCAUUUAUUUUUGUAAGACACUUCCGCUAUGUAAUAAUGUUUAUGACAUUUAUCUCCAUACACUUGGUCAUUAGAUGUGUUGUUGUUCUUUGACGCACAUAUGAGAUGCACCCGACUUUAUCCCUUAAAUCUGGGUGUGACAAUAGUUUUAACCUUUGUUUCCCAACAAAAUAAAGUUAUUAGAUGAUAAACAAUAUUAAUAUAAAUUUAAUGCAACUGGAAUGGAUCAAAAAUGUGUUAGAAUGAAUUAAAUAUGAAUUAAACAAGCUCCUGGAAUUAUUUCUAUACUAAAAAUCAUUUUUUGGUUUAUUUUUGAAUAUCUCUACUGACUCUGGACUGUGUACACAAUUACUAGAUAGUAUAGGGGUUAAUUCAUAAAUUCCUAGGGCACAAAUGGAAUUACUUUGCACUGUGGGUUCAUUUCUGUUAAGUUCGGGGGUUUAUUUGUAAAAGUCAAAUGGCGAAAGGGUAUCACGAGAUCUAGGCCGCCCGAUCUGAAUUCUGGGAUCCAGAUUAGAUCGGCCUAACCCUUAUGAAGCUUACAUCGAGGGCCAUCGAUCCCCAGAUCGACGGUGGAGGCUAGGGUUUCAGGUAGUCCGGCUUAUCGACAGGCGAUGGUCGCGAUCGUCUCAACGAAACGGUAUGCCCAGGCACCAACCAGGGUCGAUGGAUCCGCGACCCACGGUCCAGAUUUUAUGAACCCAUGAUCUAAUAUGUGCUAUUGAUUACACGAUCCAACGGGCAGCGAGCGCCGCAGCUCCUCUCGCUUCUCAGCGACGACCGUGACGGCGACGCCACUCCCCUUCACGACGGAUCUCGCCGGAGGCACCCGGUUUCCAACCCCCAAUGCCCUAAAUAUCGAUUGAAACACUUCUACACGACGUAGGGCACACGCUGCGAGUAUGCAGGGGGUAACGUACCGAUGAUUCAGGCAGCCAGAGGUUGCUCCACGACGGACGGUGGAUCUGCGACGGAGGUGAUAAUCCUGGCGACGAAUUCCGCGCACUCCAGCCGAUAAUCACUCACAGCACGCUAACGUCGACCCUCCCAGACUUCUUGUAGUGCACUCUAGAUGGUCACGAAGGCUUCAUCGGCGGCGGGUGAUUGAGCCCGCGGCGGCGGCAAAACUCCCUCCCCCUGAUCUCUCUCCCCACGGCGCGAUGUUCUCGGUGGUGUGAAAUCGAUGAGGGUUGUUGCGCGGGGUCUGGAGCACAGGCCGACCAGCUGGCCCGCGCCGAGCGCGGGUGGUUUCAACUACCCGCCCGUGGCGAUAUCACGGGGAAGGGGAUACACAUGU
This 4447-nucleotide long non-coding RNA is filed under the name Zea mays. RNAcentral's name for it is "long non-coding RNA (ZMAY_LNC001604)". Lineage: Eukaryota; Viridiplantae; Streptophyta; Magnoliopsida; Poales; Poaceae. The record is from RNAcentral.